RNAcentral lists this long non-coding RNA (365 nucleotides) under Capsicum annuum. RNAcentral's name for it is "long non-coding RNA (CANN_LNC011159)". The record is from RNAcentral. Lineage: Eukaryota; Viridiplantae; Streptophyta; Magnoliopsida; Solanales; Solanaceae.
GCAAAACCAGUUAAUUAUGUAGGAAUCUACAUCAAUAAAAGAGAUGAAGAUGAUUGAUGUCUUCCUUUAAGCAUAAGAGCAUGAGUACUUUAAUCACCUGCUUUCUACAGUAGGUAAAACCUUUUUGUUGAAAUAAUCAACAUUGAAUAAAAUGUUAAAAAUGGAAUUGAAUCUGAAACAGUUGCACGUCAAGUAGCUCUUCAGGCUACAACUCAGGAAAUUCAAAAUAAUUCAUGAUACUGUGGGGUCAAGAUGAACAACUAAUGAUGUAGCAAUGAUUAUGAAGACUCUAUUAAGGCCGACGUGCAAAUUAGUGGCUAAAAUAUUAAGUUCGGCAAUUCAGAAGUCACGUCGCUCCCCGCAAG